RNAcentral lists this ribosomal RNA (465 nucleotides) under Vreelandella stevensii. Its description in RNAcentral is "partial 16S ribosomal RNA". It matches the Rfam family "Bacterial small subunit ribosomal RNA", at positions 338 to 795 of the family's 1533-position model. Lineage: Bacteria; Pseudomonadati; Pseudomonadota; Gammaproteobacteria; Oceanospirillales; Halomonadaceae. The record is from RNAcentral.
CCUACGGGUGGCAGCAGUGGGGAAUAUUGGACAAUGGGCGAAAGCCUGAUCCAGCCAUGCCGCGUGUGUGAAGAAGGCCUUCGGGUUGUAAAGCACUUUCAGUGGGGAAGAAAGCCUUGGGGCUAAUACCCUCGAGGAAGGACAUCACCCACAGAAGAAGCACCGGCUAACUCCGUGCCAGCAGCCGCGGUAAUACGGAGGGUGCGAGCGUUAAUCGGAAUUACUGGGCGUAAAGCGCGCGUAGGCGGUCUGAUAAGCCGGUUGUGAAAGCCCCGAGCUCAACCUGGGAACGGCAUCCGGAACUGUCAGGCUAGAGUGCAGGAGAGGAAGGUAGAAUUCCCGGUGUAGCGGUGAAAUGCGUAGAGAUCGGGAGGAAUACCAGUGGCGAAGGCGGCCUUCUGGACUGACACUGACGCUGAGGUGCGAAAGCGUGGGUAGCAAACAGGAUUAGAUACCCGAGUAGUC